GACGGACGCUGGCGGCGUGCUUAACACAUGCAAGUCGAACGAAGAGCGACGGAAGCUUGCUUCUAUCAAUCUUAGUGGCGAACGGGUGAGUAACGCGUAAUCAACCUGCCCUUCAGAGGGGGACAACAGUUGGAAACGACUGCUAAUACCGCAUACGAUCUAAUCUCGGCAUCGAGGAUGGAUGAAAGGUGGCCUCUACAUGUAAGCUAUCACUGAAGGAGGGGAUUGCGUCUGAUUAGCUAGUUGGAGGGGUAACGGCCCACCAAGGCGAUGAUCAGUAGCCGGUCUGAGAGGAUGAACGGCCACAUUGGGACUGAGACACGGCCCAGACUCCUACGGGAGGCAGCAGUGGGGAAUCUUCCGCAAUGGACGAAAGUCUGACGGAGCAACGCCGCGUGAGUGAUGACGGCCUUCGGGUUGUAAAGCUCUGUUAAUCGGGACGAAAGGCCUUCUUGCGAAUAGUGAGAAGGAUUGACGGUACCGGAAUAGAAAGCCACGGCUAACUACGUG
This 510-nucleotide ribosomal RNA is filed under the name uncultured bacterium. RNAcentral describes it as "partial 16S ribosomal RNA". It matches the Rfam family "Bacterial small subunit ribosomal RNA", at positions 28 to 507 of the family's 1533-position model. The record is from RNAcentral.